Molecule: ribosomal RNA, 129 nt
Filed under: uncultured ectomycorrhiza (Basidiomycota)
Lineage: Eukaryota; Fungi; Basidiomycota
Description: partial 28S ribosomal RNA
Rfam family: Eukaryotic large subunit ribosomal RNA
Source: RNAcentral
CAGGUAGGAUUACCCGCUGAACUUAAGCAUAUCAAUAAGCGGAGGAAAAGAAACUAACAAGGAUUCCCCUAGUAACUGCGAGUGAAGCGGGAAGAGCUCAAAGGUUAAAAUCUGGCGUGCCUUUGGUCG